RNAcentral lists this ribosomal RNA (419 nucleotides) under uncultured bacterium. RNAcentral describes it as "bacterial SSU rRNA". It matches the Rfam family "Bacterial small subunit ribosomal RNA", at positions 477 to 892 of the family's 1533-position model. The record is from RNAcentral.
AUUAUAUGAAUAAGCACCGGCUAACUCCGUGCCAGCAGCCGCGGUAAUACGGGGGGGUGCAAGCGUUACUCGGAAUCACUGGGCGUAAAGAGCAUGUAGGCGGAUUAAUAAGUUUGAAGUGAAAUCCUAUAGCUUAACUAUAGAACUGCUUUGAAAACUGUUAAUCUAGAAUGUGGGAGAGGUAGAUGGAAUUUCUGGUGUAGGGGUAAAAUCCGUAGAGAUCAGAAGGAAUACCGAUUGCGAAGGCGAUCUACUGGAACAUUAUUGACGACUGAGAUGCGAAAGCGUGGGGAGCAAACAGGAUUAGAUACCCUGGUAGUCCACGCCCUAAACGAUGUACACUAAGUUGUUGUGAGACUUGAUCUUGCAGUAAUGCAGUUAACACAUUAAGUGUACCGCCUGGGGAGUACGGUCGCAAG